CGGGGUGCAGCAGGCGCGAAACCUCUGCAAUAGGCGAAAGCCUGACAGGGUUACUCUGAGUGACUUUCGUUAAGAGAGUCUUUUGGCACCUCUAAAAAGGGUGUAGAAUAAGGGGUGGGCAAGUCUGGUGUCAGCCGCCGCGGUAAUACCAGCACCCCGAGUGGUCGGGACGAUUAUUGGGCCUAAAGCAUCCGUAGCCGGUUCUGCAAGUCCUCCGUUAAAUCCAACUGCUUAACAGAUGGGCCGCGGAGGAUACUACAGAGCUAGGAGGCAGGAGAGGCAAGCGGUACUCAGUGGGUAGGGGUAAAAUCCGUUGAUCCAUUGAAGACCACCAGUGGCGAAGGCGGCUUGCCAGAAUGCGCUCGACGGUGAGGGAUGAAAGCUGGGGGAGCAAACCGGAUUAGAUACCCGGGUAGUCCCAGCCGUAAACGAUGCAGACUCGGUGAUGGGUUGGCUUCGUGCUAACCCAGUGCCGCAGGGAAGCCGUUAAGUCUGCCGCCUGGGUAGUACGGUCGCAAGACUGAAACUUAAAGGAAUUGGCGGGGGAG
This 548-nucleotide ribosomal RNA is filed under the name uncultured archaeon. RNAcentral's name for it is "bacterial SSU rRNA". It matches the Rfam family "Archaeal small subunit ribosomal RNA", at positions 326 to 876 of the family's 1478-position model. The record is from RNAcentral.